GAGGGGCGGGGACGAGGAAGAGGAUGUGGCUGGUGCCCUGGGUGGCCGCAGCCGCUGUCUUUCACGCCUUUCUCACUCCACACGGUGCCCCGACCCCAGGGUCCCGAAAGUCCCAGGCUGUUGGACGUGGUCUGGGUGGGGUGGGAGGGACGACGCUGGCAAAGGCGGGCUGAGAGGAUUUCUUUAUUUCGCGUUCAGACCCAACACACUCGGACACCUUGGGGCCCUGUGAGGGCUAAGUGUCCUCUGAGGCCGGCAGGAGUCUGGCCCCCGCUGCACCUGCGCUUGGUGGCUGGCAGGGGCGGGGUAGGGAGGUCACCCUCGAGGCCGGGGUCCCCAUGUGCUAGGGGAAGACCUGCCUUCCCAGCCAGUGUCCACAGGGCAGCAAUUCCACGCUCUGAGGCUCAGGGACCAAGGCAGGGCUGGGUGUGGGGCCCAGACUCCAAGCUCUGGGGGUUGGGGGACCAAGGCAGGGCUGGGCAUGGGGCUCAGGGCCUUGGAGGUUUUUCUCAGCUCUCAACAUCACAGCACAGGGCCCGUGAGUCACCCCAGUCCUCUGGGCCUGUGUACCCAAGCCGGAUGCAGGCCGGGGAGUGCACGUGGGGCUCCUCUGUGGCGCCAGUGUGAAGCUGCUCUCCGGGGCGGUCGCAGCCUCCAAACCCUGGUGCUACGAGUCCGUGCCUCAGGCCCAGGGACCACAGGCCGUCUGCUCAUGGCUGAAAAUGAGGCCAAGCAGCUCCCAAGUCUCGAAGACUCCACUGGUGUGGAGGCAGAGGGGCCCUUCCAGGGCAGGGCAGCCCUCGGGGCAGCAGCAGGGGCAAGGGCUCUGUCUCACGCACACGGGCACAGGCACGCAGGUGCCGGCCCUGCCGCUGGCUCCCAAGAGGCCGAUAGCCCGGUAGGGAGGUCACACACACACAGCUGAUCCCUGGAGGUAAAGAAACCUAGACGAGGAGAGUGGAGGCUGGGCCUGCGCAAGGAGGCGCCAAGGGGGGAGACCACUGCCCACAACAGGGUCAGUCCCGCGAGAGGGUCAGUUCCGCGCCUGCCGCCUGCCCGCCCAGCUGCAGGGUGCUCGCCAUUGCCACUGCUGGGGAGCAUGGUUUGGGCCGAGAAACCAGUGACUCCGGGAGGAAAUGCAGAAGGGCCGGGGUGCCAGCGCCAGUGCCCAUUAUGGGCAGGGCUGGGCCUCACGUCUGGGCCAGCGAGAGCUCCUCCAAGCCUCUCUUUCCCAGGCGGUACCUGGCGAGGUCCUUCCUGGUCACCAACCCGACAA
RNAcentral lists this long non-coding RNA (1276 nucleotides) under Homo sapiens (human). RNAcentral's name for it is "long non-coding RNA NONHSAT051958.2". The record is from RNAcentral. Lineage: Eukaryota; Metazoa; Chordata; Mammalia; Primates; Hominidae.